AUUGAACGCUGGCGGCAGGCUUAACACAUGCAAGUCGAGCGAGCGGCGGACGGGUGAGUAAUGUCUGGGAAACUGCCUGAUGGAGGGGGAUAACUACUGGAAACGGUAGCUAAUACCGCAUACCAUCAGAUGUGCCCAGAUGGGAUUAGCUAGGAGGUGGGGUAAUGGCUCACCUAGGCGACGAUCCCUAGCUGGUCUGAGAGGAUGACCAGCCACACUGGAACUGAGACACGGUCCAGACUCCUACGGGAGGCAGCAGUGGGGAAUAUUGGACAAUGGGCGAAAGCCUGAUGGAGCCAGGCCGCGUGUGUGAAGAAGGCUUUCGGGUUGUAAAGCUCUGUCAGCAAGGAGGCGGUACUCGAAGAGGAAGCACCGGCUAACUCCGUGCCAGCCGCCGCGGUAAUAC
This 406-nucleotide ribosomal RNA is filed under the name uncultured bacterium. RNAcentral's name for it is "partial 16S ribosomal RNA". It matches the Rfam family "Bacterial small subunit ribosomal RNA", at positions 29 to 526 of the family's 1533-position model. The record is from RNAcentral.